GACGUAUAAAGAGUCCUGCCUGCCCGGUGACGCUAAAGUUAAACGGCCGCGGUAUCUUGACCGUGCGAAGGUAGCAUAAUCAUUUGCCUUUUAAAUGGAGGCUGGUAUGAAUGGCAAGACGAGAAUCAGACUGUCUCCCUUUUAAUACUCCCUAAAUUCAUGUCCUUGUGAAGAAGCGAGGAUAGAGUCGUAGGACGAGAAGACCCUAUCGAGUUUUAGUAUAGGUCUUAAAUGUUAAAAAGUGGUAACAAAUCUGAUUAAGAUAAUCGAAUAUAUUAAUAAUUCCAUUUUGAAGAAUCACAUAAGUUAUAAGACUUAAUACUUUAAUUGGGGCAAUUGCGGAGAAAAAAAAUCCUCCGCUAUUUAUAAAAAAUAAAAAUUACUAUUUUACAAUAUAAAUUCUAAGUAUUGACCCGCUAGAAAUAGCGAUCAAAGGAAUAAAUUACCGUAGGGAUAACAGCGUAAUUCUCUUGAAGAGUUCAUAUUGAUAAGAGAGUUUGCGACCUCGAUGUUGGAUCGGGACAUCCUGGAAAUGCAGCAGUUUCCAAGGGUUGGUCUGUUCGA
This 564-nucleotide ribosomal RNA is filed under the name Leiaster leachi. RNAcentral's name for it is "16S rRNA". It matches the Rfam family "Bacterial large subunit ribosomal RNA", at positions 1840 to 2584 of the family's 2925-position model. Lineage: Eukaryota; Metazoa; Echinodermata; Asteroidea; Valvatida; Ophidiasteridae. The record is from RNAcentral.